Molecule: long non-coding RNA, 487 nt
Organism: Bombyx mori (domestic silkworm)
Lineage: Eukaryota; Metazoa; Arthropoda; Insecta; Lepidoptera; Bombycidae
Exons: 2
Source: RefSeq, a predicted model, not a curated record
CUACUCUCGAUUAUAAGUUUCGAGCUUCGAGAACGUGAUGAUUCGAUUGUGAAACGAAAGUAAGUAAAUUCAUUUGUGCUGCUGAAAUUAUUAUUUUUUACGGACGCAGAGAACAUGGCCAGACCUGGAGUGAUGUAAAAGAGCAUGGGCAAGACAGGGUGAAGUGAAGAUAACUUGUGAGGGCCCUAUGUACCAGCGGGGUACCUUAGUGCUAGAACAACAACAAAAAUGUGAAAAAUUAAGGGGAAAAAAGCAAUGGCUAUGAUAUUAACAAGCAUGAAAUAGAAUAAUAAAAUACAUUUAUUAGUUAAAAUUUCUGUUUAUUACCUUUAAUCUAUCAACUUACAAUAAUAUAUUAAAUUUUUAGUAUUGUAAACUUCUCUUAGUUUGUAUGUCAUCCAAAAGUAUUCUUAGUUCUUCAUCUUCAAAUUUUCCUUCUAAUGAUGGUAUCAGUGCUUUCGCUUCCUCCGGUGUUUCAGGACAUAAA